This 261-nucleotide ribosomal RNA is filed under the name uncultured prokaryote. Its description in RNAcentral is "partial 16S ribosomal RNA". It matches the Rfam family "Bacterial small subunit ribosomal RNA", at positions 524 to 784 of the family's 1533-position model. The record is from RNAcentral.
UACGUAGGUGGCGAGCGUUGUCCGGAUUUAUUGGGCGUAAAGCGAGCGCGGGCGGUUCCUUAAGUCUGAUGUGAAAGCCCACGGCUCAACCGUGGAAGGUCAUUGGAAACUGGGGAACUUGAGUGCAGAAGAGGAGAGUGGAAUUCCAUGUGUAGCGGUGAAAUGCGUAGAUAUAUGGAGGAACACCAGUGGCGAAGGCGACUCUCUGGUCUGUAACUGACGCUGAGGCUCGAAAGCGUGGGGAGCAAACAGGAUUAGAUA